Molecule: long non-coding RNA, 3694 nt
Organism: Bombina bombina (fire-bellied toad)
Lineage: Eukaryota; Metazoa; Chordata; Amphibia; Anura; Bombinatoridae
Exons: 2
Source: RefSeq, a predicted model, not a curated record
GUCAGUGCGCAGGGAGACCAGAACGAUGCUGCCACCAGGAUCGGGUCCAUUCAGUGAGGCUCAGGGGAGGGCCCAGGGCUACUGUGCAGGGCUGCGUGAGGAGAGGCUACGACUCAGCAGUAUGUAUCUGAGAGACCAAUGAGAUGGAUAAAAAAAAAAGAUCUGAUGGAUAAGACAGAGAUGAGCAGAGGGAUGACACCGAUAGAGCUGAUUGAUGAGACAAAGAGAAGGCAAAAGAUGAGGUUCAGAAGAUGAGGAGUGACACAUGAAAGAGCUGAUUAAUGAGACAAAAAGAAGGCAAAGGAUGAGGUUCAGAAGCUGAGGAGUGACACAUGAAAGAGCUGAUUAAUGAGACAAAGAGAAGGAAAUGGAUGAGGUUCAGAAGCUGAGGAGUGACACAUGAAAGAGCUGAUUAAUGAGACAAAAAAAAGUAAAAGGAUGACGUUCAGAAGCUGAGGAGUGACACAUGAAAGAGCUGAGCAAUGAGACAAAAAGAAGGCAAAGGAUGAGUUUAAGAAGCAGAGAGAUGUGUCAGAGGGAGCUGAUUAAUGAGACAAAGAGAAGGCAAAGGAUGUGGUUCAGAAGCUGAGGAGUGACACAUGAAAGAGCUGAGCAAUGAGACAAAAAGAAGGCAAAGGAUGAGGUUAAGAAGCAGAGAGAUGUGUCAGAGAGAGCUGAUUAAUGAGACAAAGAGAAGGCAAAGGAUGAGGCUAAGAAGCAGAGAGAUGUGUCAGAGGGAGCUGAUUAAUGAGACAAAGAGAAGGCAAAGGAUGAGGUUCAGAAGCCGAGGAGUGACACAUGAAAGAGCUGAGCAAUGAGACAAAAAGAAGGCAAAGGAUGAGGUUAAGAAGCAGAGAGAUGUGUCAGAGGGAGCUGAUUAAUGAGACAAAGAGAAGGCAAAGGAUGAGGUUCAGAAGCCGAGGAGUGACACAUGAAAGAGCUGAUUAAUGAGACAAAGAGAAGGAAAAGGAUGAGGUUCAGAAGCUGAGGAGUGACACAUGAAAGAGCUGAUUAAUGAGACAAAAAGAAGGCAAAGGAUGAGGUUAAGAAGCAGAUAGAUGUGUCAGAGGGAGCUGAUUAAUGAGACAAAGAGAAGGCAAAGGAUGAGGUUCAGAAGCUGAGGAGUGACACAUGAAAGAGCUGAUUAAUGAGACAAAGAGAGAAGGAUGAGGUUAAGAAGCAGAGAGAUGUGUCAGAGGGAGCUGAUUAAUGAGACAAAGAGAAGGAAAAGGAUGAGGUUCAGAAGCUGAGGAGUGACACAUGAACGAGCUGAAUAAUGAGACAAAGAGAAGGCAAAGGAUGAGGUUAAGAAGCAGAGAGAUGUGUCAGAGGGAGCUGAUUACUAAGACAAAGAGAAAGAGAAGGAUGAGGUUAAGAAGCAGAGAGAUGUGUCAGAGGGAGCUGAUUAAUGAGACAAAGAGAAGGAAAAGGAUGAGGUUAAGAAGCUGAGGAGUGACACAUGAAGAGCUGAUUACUGAGACAAAGAGAAAGAAAAGGAUGAGGUUAAGAAGCAGAGAGACGUGUCAGAGGGAGCUGAUUAAUGAGACAAAGAGAAGGAAAAUGAUGAGAUUAAGAAGCUGAGGAGUGACACAUGAAGAGCUGAUUACUGAGACAAAGAGAAAGAAAAGGAUGAAGUUAAGAAGCAGAGAGACGUGUCAGAGGGAGCUGAUUAAUGAGACAAAGAGAAGGAAAAGGAUGAGGCUAAGAAGCAGAGGAGUGACACAUGAAAGAGCUAAAUAAUGAGACAAAGAGAAAGAAAAGGAUGAGGUUAAGAAGCAGAGAGACGUGUCACAGGGAGCUGAUUAAUGAGACAAAGAGAAGGCAAAGGAUGAGGCUAAGAAGCAGAGGAGUGACACAUGAAAGAGCUAAAUAAUGAGACAAAGAGAAGGAAAAGGAUAAGGUUAAGAAGCAGAGAGACGUGCCAGAGGGAGCUGAUUAAUGAGACAAAGAGAAGGAAAAGGAUGAGGUUAAGAAGCAGAGAGACGUGUCACAGGGAGCUGAUUAAUGAGACAAAGAGAAGGAAAAGGAUGAGGUUAAGAAGCAGAGAGACGUGUCACAGGGAGCUGAUUAAUGAGACAAAGAGAAGGAAAAGGAUGAGGUUCAGAAGCUGAGUAGUGACACAUAAAAUAGCUGAUUAAUGAGACAAAGAGAAGGAAAAGGAUGAGGUUAAGAAGCAGAGAGAUGUGUCAGAGGGAGCUGAUUAAUGAGACAAAGAGAAGGAAAAUGAUGAGAUUAAGAAGCUGAGGAGUGACACAUGAAGAGCUGAUUACUGAGACAAAGAGAAAGAAAAGGAUGAGGUUAAGAAGCAGAGAGACGUGUCACAGGGAGCUGAUUAAUGAGACAAAGAGAAGGAAAAGGAUGUGGUUAAGAAGCUGAGGAGUGACACAUGAAAGAGCUAAAUAGGGAGACAAAGAGAAAGAAAAGGAUGAGGUUAAGAAGCAGAGGAGUGACACAUGAAAGAGCUAAAUAAUGAGACAAAGAGAAAGAAAAGGAUGAGGUUAAGAAGCAGAGAGACGUGCCAGAGGGAGCUGAUUAAUGAGACAAAGAGAAGGAAAAGGAUGAGGCUAAGAAGCAGAGGAGUGACACAUGAAAGAGCUAAAUAAUGAGACAAAGAGAAGGAAAAGGAUGAGGUUAAGAAGCUGAGGAGUGACACAUGAAGAGCUGAUUACUGAGACAAAGAGAAAGAAAAGGAUGAGGUUAAGAAGCAGAGAGACGUGUCACAGGGAGCUGAUUAAUGAGACAAAGAGAAGGAAAAGGAUGUGGUUAAGAAGCUGAGGAGUGACACAUGAAAGAGCUAAAUAGGGAGACAAAGAGAAAGAAAAGGAUGAGGUUAAGAAGCAGAGGAGUGACACAUGAAAGAGCUAAAUAAUGAGACAAAGAGAAAGAAAAGGAUGAGGUUAAGAAGCAGAGAGACGUGCCAGAGGGAGCUGAUUAAUGAGACAAAGAGAAGGAAAAGGAUGAGGCUAAGAAGCAGAGGAGUGACACAUGAAAGAGCUAAAUAAUGAGACAAAGAGAAAGAAAAGGAUGAGGUUAAGAAGCAGAGAGACGUGUCAGAGGGAGCUGAUUAAUGAGACAAAGAGAAGGAAAAGGAUGAGGUUAAGAAGCAGAGGAGUGACACAUGAAAGAGCUGAUUACUGAGACAAAGAGAAAGAAAAGGAUGAGGUUAAGAAGCAGAGAGAUGUGUCACAGGGAGCUGAUUAAUGAGACAAAGAGAAGGAAAAGGAUGAGGCUAAGAAGCAGAGAGAUGUGUCAGAGGGAGCUGAUUAAUGAGACAAAGAGAAAGAGAAGGAUGAGGUUAAGAAGCAGAGAGACGUGUCAGAGGGAGCUGAUUAAUGAGACAAAGAGAAGGAAAAGGAUGAGGCUAAGAAGCAGAGAGAUGUGUCUGAGGGAGCUGAUUAAUGAGACAAAGAGAAGGAAAAGGAUGAGGUUAAGAAGCAGAGAGACGUGUCAGAGGGAGCUGAUUAAUUAGACAAAGAGAAAGAAAAGGACGAGGUUAAGAAGCAGAGAGAUGUGUCACAGGGAGCUGAUUAAUGAGACAAAGAGAAGGAAAAGGAUGAGGUUAAGAAGCAGAGAGACGUGUCAGAGGGAGCUGAGGCAUGAGAUAAUGUUGAAGUGAUGGAGGAAAGAAUUACAGACUAUGGAAGGAUUGUAUGUAAAUCUGCAAAUAAAUAAAAUAAAUAAAAUUAAAAACAAA